UGCCAGACUCCUACGGGAGGCAGCAGUGGGGGAUAUUGCACAAUGGGGGGAACCCUGAUGCAGCGACGCCGCGUGGGUGAAGAAGUAUUUCGGUAUGUAAAGCCCUAUCGGCAGGGAAGAAUUUAGACGGUACCUGACUAAGAAGCCCCGGCUAACUACGUGCCAGCAGCCGCGGUAAUACGUAGGGGGCGAGCGUUAUCCGGAUUCACUGGGUGUAAAGGGAGCGUAGACGGCGACGCAAGUCUGGAGUGAAAGCCCGGGGCCCAACCCCGGGACUGCUCUGGAAACUGCGUCGCUGGAGUACGGGAGGGGCAGGCGGAAUUCCUGGUGUAGCGGUGAAAUGCGUAGAUAUCAGGAGGAACACCAGUGGCGAAGGCGGCUUGCUGGACGAUGACUGACGUCGAGGCUCGAAAGCGUGGGGAGCAAACAGGAUUAGAUACCCGGGUAA
RNAcentral lists this ribosomal RNA (448 nucleotides) under uncultured bacterium. Its description in RNAcentral is "bacterial SSU rRNA". It matches the Rfam family "Bacterial small subunit ribosomal RNA", at positions 329 to 793 of the family's 1533-position model. The record is from RNAcentral.